CUGGUCCUAACAGAAUAAAAUACUGCCUUCAGACUCAUUUUUACUUUGGCCCGCUGGAUAGUGCCUGAUUUAUUUACUUACAAACAAAUGGCUCGCUGUGAUAAUGAAGCUUUUAUUAUUCAUUUCUUCAAUAUUUAUACUCCACACCUAGCAGAUCUUUGGCAAUGUUCUUUCUACGCACGUUUUACUUCUGACACCGGAUCAUCCUUAGGUGAUGUUAUUCAGAUGGAUUUUAAUAGCCUAGGGUUGUAACAGCAUUACCAGGUCGUUGUUCAAACCCGAAACUGUCCAGAAGUUUAGGCUUUAGGGCUCGACAACAUGGGGGGACUUCUCAUUGAUCGAAGCGGUAUGAAGCGCAUGACCUAAAAGCGAAUGCUCUAAGAAAGCCAAGAAUGUAACAAAGAAUGAACCAAACGCGUUUUAUACGACGAUUUUCAUCACACUUGUGAGGAAGAAAACAGGAUAAACUUUUAAACACGUUCUCAGGAAACAGCUGACCAUUUUUUGCUGUUUUUUCACUGUAUAAACAGGUUUCUAAACAGGUUCCUACUCACUCGCGAUAUUAUGAGCCUUAUAUCGAUGUUAUAAGGUUCUAGUUA
Molecule: long non-coding RNA, 599 nt
Organism: Pararge aegeria (speckled wood butterfly)
Lineage: Eukaryota; Metazoa; Arthropoda; Insecta; Lepidoptera; Nymphalidae
Exons: 3
Source: RefSeq, a predicted model, not a curated record